UCAGGUAUAAAUAAGAAGUUCCAGGUGAGAGGUGAGUCGGGAAGAAGUUGAGAGGAGACAUUUCUAGAGCUGGCAGAAGAGGAGGGGAAACCUUUAUAGAUCACAUGACCAAAAUAAAUGGAGGAGGACUGCAAUCACAUGACUGAGAGGAUACUAAACCUCACCCUGGAGAUCAUCUACCUGCUGACUGGAGAGAGAUUUCCUCUUGUGAAGUCAG
Long non-coding RNA from Rana temporaria (common frog), 217 nucleotides. RefSeq lists it as uncharacterized. NCBI's taxonomy places the organism in Eukaryota, Metazoa, Chordata, Amphibia, Anura, Ranidae. The record is from RefSeq and is a predicted model, not a curated record. The transcript has 3 exons.